RNAcentral lists this ribosomal RNA (253 nucleotides) under uncultured bacterium. RNAcentral describes it as "partial 16S ribosomal RNA". It matches the Rfam family "Bacterial small subunit ribosomal RNA", at positions 524 to 776 of the family's 1533-position model. The record is from RNAcentral.
UACGUAGGGGGCAAGCGUUGUCCGGAUUUAUUGGGCGUAAAGAGCGUGUAGGCGGCCAUGCAGGUCAGCUGUGAAAACUCGAGGCUCAACCUCGAGACGCCAGUUGAAACCGCAUGGCUAGAGUCCGGAAGAGGAGAGUGGAAUUCCCGGUGUAGCGGUGAAAUGCGCAGAUAUCAGGAGGAACACCGAUGGCGAAGGCAGGUCUCUGGGCCGAUACUGACGCUGAGGAGCGAAAGCGUGGGGAGCGAACAGG